CUCUGCAUCACAUACACAAACACACUCUGCAUCACAUACACAAACUGCAUUCAUACACACACACACUGCACUCAUACACACACACACACUGCACUCAUACACACACACACUGCAUUCAUACACACACUGCAUUCAUACACACACACUGCACUCAUACACACACACACUGCAUUCAUACACACACACACACACUGUACUCAUACACACACACACACUGCAUUCAUACACACACACACACAC
Non-coding RNA from Pelobates cultripes (western spadefoot toad), 240 nucleotides. Lineage: Eukaryota; Metazoa; Chordata; Amphibia; Anura; Pelobatidae. The record is from the annotation of a GenBank genome assembly.